AUUGCAUAAUGCAGUAGCCACUGGAUUUGCAGCAGAAACACUCUGCUACAGAACAAGUGUCUUGGUUCACAGCAAAGAGGACAAAGAAAACAGCAAGUUUUAGGGGGUUGAAUCCUGGAUUCCCCUGGCAAACACCAUUCUACUUUCCGUCUCUAUGAAUUUGACUACUCGAAGUACCUCAUGUGAAAUGUUGGUGCCAAAUGAACUUUUCUGGUUCUUCUGAAUAUGCCACUGUUGCUGGAGAAAUGUCACUGCUAGAGAACAGAAGACUAUUAUUCCAAAGGGUAUUUGAGACUGACUGAAUCAGGUCUGGAACAUUAUUGAAAUGAUCAUUUGCUCCAGAAGAAGCUGGUUGCCAUGUCUUGAGGACAGUAAACCCUCUGGGGAGGUUCCUGUGGUAAGGAACAAGGGCUCCUGGCAAUAGCCUCUGAGUGAGCCACCUUGAAAAUGGAUUGUCCAGCCCCAGUCAAGCUUUCAGAUGACUGUAGCUCCUGCCAAUGUCUUCACCACAACCUCAUGAGAUCCCAAGCUACAACCACUCAGAACUUCAUCUUUUGGGAAGCACCAGGGAGAGCUGCCUGUGCCUGGCAGAAGCUGCCCAUGCCCCACUGAUACCCCACAGUACUUCCUGUUCUGCUUAGUACUCCUGCUUCUUUCUACAAACAACUGUGAUUCUCUACCUGGGAGCUUCCUCUGGCCACAGGAGCCUGCUCACCUGAUUGGGACACCCUAGCAGUACUGGUGAGUUAUAGCUUCCAGGAGCAGCUCUCUUCCAGCAAAGGAAAGGGUUGGCUGAACAGUACUUCAGCUGCCUCUGCUAGUGUGUGGGGCAAUGUUAAGACAUGCUCCACACAGUAAUGCAGGGGUCCCAGCAAGGUGGAGCCCCACUUGUCCACAGUAGUAACUUGCCAGUAGAUGCCUGCAUUGACUUUCUUCCCUGCUGUGCCUUUCUUUCCAUUCCCCUGCCAGUGCUUCCUGGAAUCAUCUCCCUCAUCAAUCAUUUGUUCCUAAAUUCUGUCUGAGUCUGUUUCUGAGGAAACCCAACCUGAGUCAUCGUCCCUCUUCUCCCCUCCUCACAUUCUCUUCACUGGGGGAGGAUGGAUUGAGUUGACUGGCAAAUUCGGGAGAAGGAGUUUGCAUCGGAGUGCGUGACUCAGCUGAGGCUGGGCUCUGUUUCUUCAGAAUGAAGUGCAUUCAGAUUCGAUGUGUAUCCUGUCUCUGGGAAGCCCCAUGCUCUGCUCAUCUUAGCAUGAUUACUAAGGUACACUCUGCCCUUGCAAGGGGAAGGCCCGAGAUUUGCUGCUGGCAGGCUCAGUGGGAGUUGGAUGUUUUAUGUAACCUGAUUGUGGAUAUAGAUCAAUUCAUGCUUUUCAAUUCAGUCCUCUCUCUAAUAAACUGCUGUCAUAA
Molecule: long non-coding RNA, 1407 nt
Filed under: Homo sapiens (human)
Lineage: Eukaryota; Metazoa; Chordata; Mammalia; Primates; Hominidae
Description: STXBP5 antisense RNA 1
Source: RNAcentral